AGUGAACGUGGCGGCGUGCCUAAUACAUGCAAGUCGAACGGAAUUUAAAAGAGCUUGCUCUUUUAAAUUUAGUGGCGCACGGGUGAGUAAAAUAUAGCUAAUCUGCCCCUUGCUGGAGGACAACAGUUAGAAAUGACUGCUAAUACUCCAUACUCCUUUUUACCAUAAGAUAAAUCGGGAAAGAAUUUCGGCAAGGGAUGAGACUAUAUCGUAUCAGCUAGUCGGUGGGGUAACGGCCUACCGAGGCUAUGACGCGUAACUGGUAUGAGAGGAUGAUCAGUCACAUAGGAAGUGAGACACGGUCCAAACUCCUACGGGAGGCAGCAGUAGGGAAUAUUGCGCAAUGGGGGAAACCCUGACGCAGCAACGCCGCGUGGAGGAUGACACU
This 388-nucleotide ribosomal RNA is filed under the name Campylobacter gracilis. RNAcentral describes it as "bacterial SSU rRNA". It matches the Rfam family "Bacterial small subunit ribosomal RNA", at positions 37 to 415 of the family's 1533-position model. The record is from RNAcentral. Lineage: Bacteria; Pseudomonadati; Campylobacterota; Epsilonproteobacteria; Campylobacterales; Campylobacteraceae.